This 253-nucleotide ribosomal RNA is filed under the name uncultured bacterium. RNAcentral describes it as "partial 16S ribosomal RNA". It matches the Rfam family "Bacterial small subunit ribosomal RNA", at positions 524 to 776 of the family's 1533-position model. The record is from RNAcentral.
UACGUAGGGUGCAAGCGUUAAUCGGAAUUACUGGGCGUAAAGCGUGCGCAGGCGGUUUUGCAAGUCAGAUGUGAAAUCCCCGGGCUUAACCUGGGAACUGCAUUUGAAACUACGAGGCUAGAGUGUGUCAGAGGGGGGUAGAAUUCCACGUGUAGCAGUGAAAUGCGUAGAGAUGUGGAGGAAUACCGAUGGCGAAGGCAGCCCCCUGGGAUAACACUGACGCUCAUGCACGAAAGCGUGGGGAGCAAACAGG